AGGAGAUGCAUUAAACUGCAGGAUGAAGGAUUUAAUUUAGACAUAGAAAGAGUGGCCUGAUAAUAAGUGUUAUUAGAUGUUGGAGUCAGUGUUGGAGGCAGCUCUGUGCUUUGGAGGACUUGCACAUACAGGCCCUCGGGCCCAGCUGAGGACAUCUGAAGGAAAGCCAUGAGUUGGUAUCCAUGGCACAGCUAAGAAGGAAAGAUUUCAACGGAUGCAAUAUAUACCAGUGUUCACAGGUUAUGCAAGGAAGAAGCUGGUGAAGAGAUUUCUCCUGCUUGGACAGAUGGUAAAAGAGCUAGGAAUAGUGUGGGUGUUCAUGCCCUCCCAGUACAUUUGGCCUGCCUCUGUGUUCCCCUGCAACUGAGCUAGGUAUUGUCAAGGACCCACAUCUCUCUCCUCUGACUGAGUGCUUUCUUUUGCAUGGGGGAGCUUAGUCAGUACUCUUAAAGAACGUUCAAAACUCGACCGAUGACUAAUGAGGGUUGGUGGAUGAAUACCCGGGUUUCUCAUGGACUGAUGGGAUAAUUCUAGGUACUACAAACCUCUGAGAAGACGCUGGAAGAAUGGAAUCACAAUUCCAUAUGUGAUCGUAUAUUCACAAAUACCCCACCAGCCUUUGUGACUCUUCUGCUAAUCUCAUGUGCACUUCCUAGAAUCGAUUCCUAAACAAACCACCAGAACCCAAGCCCUUUGUUGCAGGGUCUACUUUGGAGGAAACCCAACCUAACACAACAGGCUUUGGAAUCAGAUAAAUCCUAAUUCUCCUUGAAUCAUUUAGUAGUUGCCUGGCCUUGAACAAGUAGCUUCUUUUUAGAGUUCAGUGUCCUUGUCUGCAGAAUGUGGGUGAUUGUAGCUCGACUUAUUUCAUAGGACUAUGUUGAAGAUUAAAGAAGAUGUAAACCACAGAGCACCUGGUGUUUGAUAGUUCAUAAAUAAAUGCUGGCCAUUCUGAUUGUGAUUUUUCUUUUUAUUUAUUUAUUUAUUUAGGCACAGGGUAACCCAGCAGUAUUUAUCCGUUGAGC
This 1025-nucleotide long non-coding RNA is filed under the name Ictidomys tridecemlineatus (thirteen-lined ground squirrel). RNAcentral's name for it is "lncRNA (ENSSTOG00000034846.1)". Lineage: Eukaryota; Metazoa; Chordata; Mammalia; Rodentia; Sciuridae. The record is from RNAcentral.